AAACGAAAGAAAUAUUCCUUUUGCAUGUUCUUCCUAUAUUGCCGAAAUUAAAGAGUAAGAAAAAGAGAAAAGCUUUCUCACUUUCGGUCAAGGAAAGCCAAAAUCCAAGGUUAGUUUUAGUUUAGAUUUUCAUAAAAAGUAUAUUUUUGAGCUUGUAGUCAAGAUAUGUACAUAGCCAUGUGUUAAUUUUGAAAUUAAUUCAUAUUAUGGUAUUCGGCUAUGGAGAAAUUUCUUGAGUUAGGUGGUGUUGAUGUUAGAAAAUGAAAGUUAUAUGCUAGAUUUUUUUAAAAGUUGUAAUAAGAUUUCUAUGUGAUUUUGUGUAUAAGGGACGAAUUUGUAAAAUUUUUGAAUAGAGAGGGACUAGAUUUUAAAUAAAAUAAAAUGUAAGGGUUUGAAUAGGUUUAGUGAAUAUUCGGCUCUUGUGAAUUGGGAUGAGAUUGAGUGUAUUUUAUGAUAUAUGCACUUUGGAUUAUUUUGUACAAUUGUAAAAUGUGAAGGGCAAAUUAGAAAUUUGCUUAAUUGUGUAGUUGAGAUUAAAUUGAGUGAAAUUCAAUUUAAUGAGUUCAAUUUGGAAUUAAUUAGAUCAAGAACAAAAAUGACCGGGAUCGGAUCGGGGAAAAACGAAAUUAAUCGAAUAGUCGUGAAACGUAGUUCGCCGAUAUACGAGGUAAUAUUUUAAGCAAUUAAGUCGAAUUUGAUUUAUUUAUAAAUGAUAUACAUGAAUUUAAUGGAAGUAUAUAUAUUAUUGAUAGAACCGAAUGUGACAUUGAUUAAGGAGACAAAUAGGUUAAUAUGUAUUUAUGUGGUUGAUGUUUAAGCUUUGUAUGUAUAUAUAUAAAUGAGUAGCAAGUUUGAGAGAUGCACUAAACGUGCAAAUUUGAUACCGAGCACUAAGUGUGCGAAAUCGGUCAUUGAGCACUAAGUGUGCAAGUUGAUUUUAAGCACUAAGUGUGCAAAUUGGAUUUCCGAGCACUAAGUGUGCGAAAUCGGUUAUUGAGCACUAAGUGUGCGAGAAAAUUUUUAAGCUCAAAGAUUGAGUUCGGUAAGUCUCGAAACUAUGAGGUGUUUAUAUUUGAAAGUAAAUAUAUGUGUUUAAUUGUGGAUUAAAUGAAAUGCUAAAUGUAAAUCGUCUAUUUGGAAUUUUGUAUAAGAUGUAUAUUUUGAAUAGCUUUGUGUUUGAAAUUGUGGAUAUCACAUGAGAAUGGAAUUUCAUAUUAGAUUCGGCCGGGAGUUUGGGAACAAGAAAUGCUUUGUGGUUGUAAGUUGGUAUUGAUGAAUCCUUGCCUAUAAUAUUUGAAAUUAUUAUUAAGAGUUUGAUCGAUAGACUUAUUAAAAUUGCUUAAAACUUACUAAGCUGUUAAAGCUUACAUGGUGUGUUUUUGCUUGCUUUUUGUAUUUUAGAUUCUUGAUGUGAAAAAAUAAAAUAAAUAAAAUAAAGAACACACAAAUUUUACGUGGAAACCCUUUCGGGAAAAAAACCACGGGCAGAGGAGAAGAAAAUUCACUAUGUCGAAAAUUUGAAAUCAAUACAAGAGGAAUAGACUAUGUCUAUUUAUAGGCUUGUAAAGCCAUAUUCUAGUAGGAUUGAAACACCUUAUCCUAAUCAAUAUAAAAUAGAUGAAGUUUAAUAAGGUUUAAAAAAUCUUAUUCUAAAAUAAAAUAAAAGAAGUCUAGUUCUAUAUGGAUUUUACUUUUAUUUUAUUUUCCAUCGUAUUUUAUUUAAAUAAGAAUUUGGGUCACUUAAUUCUAACACUUGGUGAUCGUUACGUGCUCAGAGAUCGUCAGUGAAUAUCGUCACACUAUCAUUAAUCUUUUGGUACUUUUGAAAAUCGAACUUAAAGUUUAUGGCAUGUAUAAGCUAAGAUACCUUUUGAAUUCAUUAUGGUUGAGACGUAUAUAAAUGCCAUGCGAAAAUGGCUAACUUGAUACAUAAGUCUAUAUUAUCUUGAUUGUGUUUUUGUGCUUGUAAUGUUUGAAUAUGAAAAAGGUGAAGUUGAUUGCGGUUUGAACGUUUGGUUGAUAUUUUGGUGUAUAGUAGAUGAUUCGGCUAUGCUAUGUAUUAGGUGUAAAACAUGCAUGUUGUAAUCGGUUGAUAUUAGAUAAUGUGAUUUUAUUAUAAUAUACAUAGGUAAUUUUUUCACGCGACCGUUUGGUAUGAAUUUUGAUUGGCUUAAAGAUCUAGCUUUAUGGGAAAUAUUAUGUAUGCCCUUUUAAUAUUUUAAGUUAUAUAUAUCUUAAUAGUGGUGCAUUCGGCUAGGUUGCUUAAUUAAUUAGAUUUGGUUAAAUGGCCGAAUAUAUGUAUAUCUAGUUAUAUGUUAAACAAGUUAACUAAGUUGUAAUUGUGGAAGUAGAUUGGAUGUAUUCGGUUCUUGGGUAAUGAAAUUUAGAAAUAUUUUGUCAUUUGGAGGUUGUAUAUAGUUUGCCAUGCAUAUAUGAUAUUUGCAGUGAGUGCAUUGUAUGAUAUGUCUAGAUUUUAAAUAAUUACCAUUUGAAUAUUACUUAUGCUGUUAAAACAAGGAUGAUAUAUGUGUUAUUAGUAAAUCGAUUUUAUUACUCAUGUUACAGUUGAGUGGUUAAAAAGACUCGUUAUUAUGCAUGUGAAUUGUUCGAAAAUUACGAGUAGGUCUCGUAAUGCUUCGUAACGCAAUCCGACGACGGAUACGGGUUAGGGGUGUUACAAUAAAUAUAAUAACUAAUCAAUUAAAUCGUAUCAAGGAGGUUUUCAUCAUCAAUUGAAAUGAUGUUUAGUUCAUAGUUAGAGUUUUAGAAUGCGAAGAUGUAUGGACAUCAGUUGAAUGUUUUUGUCUGAAAAAUGGGUCUAACAAAUCCAUAUCUCUAGUGUCAUCAGACACUAAAUUAAGUGGUUUUAUUGAUUUGAGAAAAAAAGUUGGGAAAGGCAAAUUAAAGUUUUCGUGUUAACAGUGGAGACAAGGAAAGAAAAGAUGGGAAUGAACUAGCUUUUGGGAUUUAAAUGUCGAACAUAACAAUGAAUAAAGGGAGUAUAGUAUCAAGUAUGAUUAAUUAUGCAUUAAUAAAGGAUAAAAUAUUGAGGAUCUACAUGGAGACAACUAUCAAUAAACAAUUAAAAGUAAAACGAUCAAUGGAGAUAAAAUAGAGCUUAGUUGUAACGCCCCAAACAAUUUAUUUCUGCUUUUAUAAACAUUUGACACAAGUAUGUAUCUGCUUCAGUGGUUAAAUGUUUUAGGUGUGUGUGAGAGAUCCCAAGUUUAAGCUUUACCUUUAGCAAUUUUGGUUAUUUCGAGCAGUGAGUUUAUAUGAUUUUAAUUGUUUUUUUCAAAAUUUUGUUUUCCUUCUCUCCUACAAAGAAAAAAGUUUUGACAUGAGUUUUCUUUCCAUUUCCUUCGUUUUCUUCCUCUUUAAUCUAUUUGAAAUUUUGGUUUCGUUUCUCGCCUUGUUUUUCGGUUUGUGGUACUCUUCGGGUGUUUCCGUAAGCUAUGUUGGUUUUUCACUCCAUAGUAGCGUACUUGACAUUUUAGGGAAUUUGAUUUCUGUAAAUCUGUGAUGUAGGAGAAGGGUGUGAACGGUGAAUUCUUGUUUCCGACAGUUUUUAAUUGCGCUAGUUUUUGGGCACAUUAUUGGUAAGUUUUGCGCAAUAUUUUGGGUUUUGUCGAUUUGUGGAUUGGUUGCUAACUGGUUAAUGAGAUGCUGUUUUUUUGGUUUUGGAUAGCUCGGGGUUACUGUAGCUUCUUGAGCGAAUCAGGUGUGUACCUAAAACACAGAAAAAUGAGUGUUGGCAAAAGUUGAAAAACCUUACUCUCGACACCACACGGGUGUGUGGUCACUCAAGUGGUAGGCCGUGUGCAAGAACACGACCUUGUGGUCGACGAAGGCAUGCGCACGGCCGUGUAGUGGCUCGAGUGUAGCCGUAUGGGUCAUACGAGUUAGGCCGAGUUGGGCGUGUAAGCCUACAUGGGAAUGACACACGGGCGUGUGGAUUUUUGGGCUAGGCUAUGUGGGCCACACGGACAAGGCCAAUCUGGGCGUGUAGGCCAUACAAGCGUGUGGGCCCACACGGGCAUGUGGGCUCAAAUUUCUAAAAUUUCUCUGAGGGUCGCACAGGUCGUCCAAUCGACUAUGGGCCUACCGUAGGAUCGGUAAAGGCUAACCAAACCCCAAGAUUGUAGAUCUGAUAGACUGAUGAUCUAUUCUGAGUAUGAUUAUGCAUAUCUAAUUAUUCUGAUAUCUGUACAUAGCAUGUCUAGUAUGUAUUCUAUAUCUGUUCUGUAUAUGAUUGUGGGGUGGGUUUUGUAUUGAUGGAGGAAGUGUUCUGUACCGCGAUCAUCGCCUAUUAUCUGGCAAUUUAGCUGCACUAUAUCUGAUACGUGUCGUAACAACACAACCUGGUGUGUAGGGAUAGGUGGGUGUUUUUAACCCCACAUGGUGUGUUGGGAUGGUCAGAGAUGGUAUGUAGAGGAUGGGGGUAGGAUUCUGAUUGUCUGAUUCUGUUUACUGUAUCUGUAAUUGAAAUUAGCUUGAGCCUGAAUCUGUAUCUGUUUUCGACUGUGUACAUGAUUUUGUAUGAUUGCAUACUUAAUUCUAAAGGGUUACACACUGAGUUAACGCAAACUCACAUCUGUUUGUCUGUUCUGUCAAGUAAUCCUCAGAGCUGGAUCGGUGCGGUAGAGACAUAACGGUGACCACUACAUUGUAAAAUAGUUAAACUUAGCUCUUUUGGUUUAUUUUAAACUUCAGACUUAUUUGUAAGUUAUAACUUUUG
Molecule: long non-coding RNA, 4738 nt
Filed under: Gossypium barbadense (sea-island cotton)
Lineage: Eukaryota; Viridiplantae; Streptophyta; Magnoliopsida; Malvales; Malvaceae
Description: long non-coding RNA (GBAR_LNC001220)
Source: RNAcentral